Molecule: long non-coding RNA, 8234 nt
Filed under: Arabidopsis lyrata
Lineage: Eukaryota; Viridiplantae; Streptophyta; Magnoliopsida; Brassicales; Brassicaceae
Description: long non-coding RNA (ALYR_LNC001750)
Source: RNAcentral
UUUCCUCAGCAAAGAUUCAUAACUUUCAUGGGUAAACUCUGCUGAAGUCUCCCUCUUCCGGGCUUCUUCAAGACAAAGGUCCUCCACAGUCUGCAGUGCUCCCUCGUAGCUUAAGUGCUCGCAUUUUCUCUCGCAGAGGUUCUGUAAGUGAUAGAACUCCUUCUCAAGAUGCUGCAUGAUCUCCAGUCCUUGAUUUGUUUUCUCUUCCUUUGUGCACAUCCAUGACACAACUUGUUCCCCGCUAGAGGGUCCUGCAAAGAUCCAUGAAAGAAAUCCAUCCGCACCAGAAGACACAUUAUUGCCGUUAGCAAUAUCUCCAGAACUUACUAUAGCUACAUUAUCAAAUGCUGAGCCCAUAUAUUUCUCUUGGAUGCACUCAGUGCCAAGUACUUUUUCAUCCAAAAGAAGACAUGAAUCUUCACCAUCAAGAAGAAUCUCCUCUGUAACUUCACGACUCAGGUCGCCAGAAUUAAUUUCAUCAUUGGAGUUACUUUGUUCAGAAUAUCGAUUCAAUCCACAGGCCUGAGUCAAGUCUUGCAGGAAUAUGAGAAUUUUCCUGAGCUGGGAAGCUCCCAAAAAGCAGAUGCAUAUGGGUGACUGGUUCAAGCUACGACUUAAGAAUUGUGAAACCGAAGCUAGAUUCUGAAGUUCAUCCAGCGUAAAUUGUAUCACCUUAUCAUGAUGGCUGGCAGCUAAGUAUUUGUGUCUAAUAAGCAGCUCAAAGGCUGCACGGAUUUUUUCAAGGAGCUUUGCACGUUCAGGAUCAUCAGAUAUAGGCCAUCCAUCAGGAGGAGGAAAUGCGAUCGACAGCUUAACCUCUUCUUGUUCAUUCUCAUUACAACCGUUGCAAGUGUAUCCAAGGCUUUCUUUCUCUGGUGAAGUAUCAUUCCGUGCAUCCGUGAAGCAAUCGUCACCGUCAUCCAUAUUAUCUCCAGAGUGAAAUUCAUCAAACUUAGAAUUUUGGAUUUUCUGCUGACCGCGAAGCAAUUUUAUCGCAGCAGAGAGAUCCAAUGGUUUCCAUGGGGAAGUAAGAAGCAUAUCAAUCCUCUCAGUGUCGACACUUUGAGGCAGAACCAUUUGCAUCUUAGGUAAGACAUUACCCAUGUGCUCUUGCACAAUAUGAUGCAUAUGAGCCUCAGACUUUAUGAACUUUUCACUACACUGGCAGCAAACCCAGAACCUCCAAGUCUUAUUGGCCUCACAAAAGGACAGAGCUUCACUUAUAAUCUCAUUUGCAUUCCCAUCCUUUGAAGCACUAAAGUGACUCUUAAGAUCACUAACCUUAACUCUAAGCAAUUGUUUCUUCAUUUCUUUGCUCAUAGAAUCCCAGUAUGACCUAACCCGAUCCCUUCUAUCCGCUGUGGAGCCGUUUUUCCUUGCAUUUCCAUGCUUUCUCCUCUCUCCGCUUCUCUUCCCCGAACCUAAAGUUGGAUCUGGUCCCUUGUUGUCAACAGCUCCUACAUUUUCCAACGGGGAAGAUUCUGACUUCUGCUGCAACAACCUAGCUGCAGCUACCCUAACUUCAACCUCCUUCCUUAUCUCUUCAAUAGUUUUGUUAGCUUUUUUAAUCUCAUUAGGCCUCCUGGUCUGAAUCAAGUUACUCUCAAUAGGAUCCUCGGCCAUUCUCCUAAUGGGUAUCAACCGAAACUUUUCUUCACCUUUUCCCAGAUUAUUCAUCCAAGUAGACAAUGAACCAAUGUUAGAUUUCUGUAUCAGUGACCUGAGCUCAUCCUGCACAUGAACAAUACGAGCCUCAGGUGUCAAUAUCUUCAACUGAGUCUCAUCAUGCAAACUCUCUUUAGCAGGAUCAAUCGGAUUUUCGAUAGAGAGAGCACGUUGACACUCUUGCACAACUUCGUCAUACUCUCUCUUCCCAUCAUUAGCAGCCUCAUAAAGCAAGUUGGCAUAAAAAUGCCCAAACUCAAUCGAAUUCGGAGACAACUCCACAGCUUUUCUAGCAGAUUCAAUUGCAUUCCGGAGAUACUUGUGUUUCGUAGCUAGAUCCUCGUAGACAGCAGCAACCUUGACGCAGAUAGUUCCUUGAACACGGUGGAUUAGGGCAGAGUCUUGAUGACGAGAGCAUGAAUCCUUUAUCAGACGAAUCGCCUUGUUGUAGCUCCCCCGCCCGAAUGACUUGAGUGCCUUCUCGCAUUCGAGCUUGAUCACAGCCGAAUCCAACGGCGCGGGGGCUUUCUUCUUCUGACCCAUCCACGAUUCAGCUCAAAACCCUUAAUUUUAUCGGCAUGAAGAAUACUCAGAGAUAUGUAUACGCGUACGUAUAUAUUUACGCCCCACCAAAUGCGCAGAGAAGGUCAAAUCGGCAAUUAUAAUACAGUCAACAGACGGCGUCGCCUGAGAGAUUCCGGCAACGUGUUACGGCGGAGAUUGUUGGUGAGGGGAGAGAUAUAGAGAGAGUAACACAAGAGUCGUUGUGCUGCUCUCUCUCUCUCUCGCUAUGGAGCAGAAGAAAAUCAUUAAACCGAGAAAGGGAUUUACAUUAGCGAUUACAAACCGGUUUACUUUGAUUAGUAAUUAUUUUAGUUUUAACCAUCCGUAUAUAUGGUUAACAAGAGGAAGCGGAGUAAUCGGUUUGCGAACUGAACCGCUCUGUUUUUAAAAAACCGCUCCUACAAUUAUAAAUUCAUUCUCAUGCAGUUUCUACCCAUUUGUCCUUCUAAAUACUAUUAUGACCAUAUUAUUGCUACCUGAUGUAGCACAACUUGCCUAAUGUGACCAUGAGGUCGUCAUACAUUAUUCACGGAUCCACCAAUGUCCAUAGUGAGUGCUUGCCUCUUUGCGGAUUGACCCCGCGAAUACAACAUAUGAAGCUGAUUCUCGACCAACAAAAGACAUAGGUUUUUGCUUUCUAACAAUCGAAUCGCUUACCCGUGAAUUCACUUACAUCCACCAUAUUCGUCAUUCUCAGGCAAACACUCCUGAAUCCCCAAAUUUCAUCCAGGACACUUUUUAAAUAAUCAUAAUAUUUCUUAUGAGAUGUUCCAUUUCCUCAAGCUUAGUCUCGGUUUUCAACCCAUCUUCCGAUCGCAUCUUCGUUUUACUGUUUAAGCUUAAGUGUUAAACACAGUUGGAUUGGAGUUUACAUAGAUUUAAAACUUAAAUUAAUGUAUUAAAAAUAAAUAUAGUAAAUUAGUAAGUAUUAAAAGGUGAUAUACUGUACACAUUUCAUUGGAUUAGUGUUUCUGCAGUUUCUCCCCUAACUUCAAACUUCAAUUUAAUUAGUUGUCAAGAUAAGAUAUAUGUAUAAUGAUGAUAUGAUUUAUAGAGAUGACCGACGAAAUAGAUUUAUAUGAACAUAUAAUCCUUAAUGUGACAAGGAUUUAACCAAGAAAACUACAUGAUAUCUUCUAAGACCUCUUCCACUGAAAACACUUUUGCUUAAUUUCAAAGACAAAAUCUUCUUCCACAUCUCCUCUUAGAAGUUAGAACCACUGAGAUGAGUGUAAAUCACAUUCUUUCCUCUCGAGUUCACUUCUGCUUGUCAAAAAAACGUACUUACUUCCUUUGUAGUAUGUGUACUUACGAGAUCUCCUAAUCUGUAGCAACGGAACUCUACUUGGUCUGUUUUUCUUUUUGAUUCUUUUUUGUUUUAACGCUUCUCGUAGAGAAGAACCUGUGGUUGCAAGUGUCCUCUUUCACACAUAGAAAGAACAUCACUCCAGCUACCGAUCACCUGAAAGAUAUUACAAAAACUGGGUAAUGAUGUCGAUGAGUGUAUCUGCCUGCAAAACCCAUUGUAUUGAUAGUCUUACCUUGACGGUUUUGUCAUCGUACAUGAUCCACUGAUCGUGCUCACGACUAUGUGCAAAACAAUGAUAAUGCUGUCCAUAAUAACAAACCUGGAGUUGCAGAAAUAGCAAAAGAACAAUAUGUUACCUUGACGUUUUUAGGGUGAAAGCAAACAAGGAAAACACAAAGUACAUAGCUGAUGUUUUAACGACUCUUCUGGUAAUGUCAUAAGGAAGAAGAAGAAGAAAUGUGUACCACGGAAACUAAGCUAUAUGUGCUCUUAGGGUCCAGACCACGGUACAUGAUGCUGAUGUCUAUCUCGGUAUUCAAGGCUGCAAGAGUAGCUGCUAUGUCUUCUACAGUCUCACAUGUGUUUUGCCACCCUAAAACUGCCCGUCCCAAAAUAAUUAGUGACAAGACACAAACAUCAUCGAUCUGAAAAAAGUUUCCAUUCAUAAAAAUUCUAAAAACAAGUUUUACCUGUAGUAAAUACAUGCGGUGGAGUAGUGAGAAUAUGGUGGAUAUGGUUGAGUUUCCCACAUCCACCCGUUUCGGAAUCACAGGCUAGUUGAUGGUUCAUCUCGACAAGAUUUAGAAGUUCGUCAAAUGAAUUCUCAGUGCAUGUAACCUAUAAGGCAUAAAGCAGGGAGUUAUCAAAAAAAUAUGGGAAAAUUCAAGUCUAAUGAAUAUUAUCUAAUUAGCAUUGCUUUUUACCUUCAUGGUGCGUAGGGCACUAGCGUUGAUGUUAUGGAAAAAGGAAGUGUACUUCAUAUGCCUGGAUUCUAGCCCACAGCUGUAGCAAUUCAGUUGCUCAAAAAUAUCCAUUCCAAACAGAGAAUGGGCAAUACAUGUGCGGUUGGCACAGUCCCAUGAACCAGUACAGUUGCUGUCUGAGGAAUCCACAUCAGACACGCUUGAACUUUGAGCAAAUGAGCGAUGAAGGCAGUCAAAGAUCACCGCCAGUACUUCUGAAGCAUCGUUCAUCUGAGCCUGUCCACCAUAUGACGCCCAAGUUUAGGCUCAUAAGUGAAAUGAAGGUUUACUCUGUAUUAAGAUGAACAUUUAAAACUAGUAAUCAAAUUCUUUUACCUCUUGGAAGAAACUACUAUCUGGAUACAAAUUACUCAAAGCAAUCCUGAGAGAUGAAGGUGCCACAGGUUCAUUUUGUGUUUCACUCGAAGCAGCGCUCAAAGCAGCAAAAAUUUCAUACAAAGAGCAGACAACACAAGGAUCUCCCACGUGAUGGUGCUCUCGUGUUGAACUCUGUAAGAACUCAGCUCGAAACAGCUCCAGAUUCCAUAGAGACUAAGAUCAAAAAAAAAAAAAAAAAAUAGCUUUCAGCAAAGAUAAAUCUUUUAAGCUGAUAGAUACUGAAUUCCCAAGAAAUCAAACAGUUUAUGAAAAGUGAAGGUUACCUGUAUGAUAACAUUCAAAAAGCAAUUGUAUUCGCCAACUUCAUUCUGAAGACCUGUGCCAAAUAUGGCAAUUCCGGUUGAGCUCCUAGACUCAAUUGUGUCUUCAGAUAAACCCCCAUCAUUGUUUACUUCCAGAGGUGUCCUUAAACAUGAAGCCAUAUUUCUACCUCCUUGGUACACGUCUGGGUUAAAAAAAAAAUGUUCUGGUGUCAAAUGCUUCAUAUCAAGGGCUUUUGUCACCCCAAAAUGAUUACAGACCAAAUAUGCUGAAAAUUCUAAAUGAGAACGUAGCAGCUGUCGGCAUAAGUAAAGCAUGAGAAAAAAUAAUUUCAGACACCUUAAAUAAUCAGAUUAAAAAUGCAGUGAAAUGAAGAAAAAUGGUAUACACAAUACACCAUUCUUCAUAGAAAUGACAGUCAGUCAGACAAUAGUGACAAAAUGGGUACUUAGCAAAAUAUCGCAAAAUGUUGACUGUCAGACAUGAUAUCAGAUAUAUAAACAAGGAUGUUGAAAAACUACCAAGGCUUUGACGCACUGCCCUUUUAAGGUCAGCUUGAAACCUUUCUUCUUCAUCGUCUUCAGCUUGUAAUUGUCUUAAUGUCUUUGUUCCCACAUCUAGAAUGCAAGAUGAAUGAUGUUAGAAACAAUUGCUGGAAAUCAAUGUAGAUACUGUAAUUCCUCAUUGACAUAAAAGCAUAAAACAAAAUACACUGGUUACACAAGUAUCCGUUUUAAGAAAUCUAACGGCUUCAUUUGUUCUAACGGAUGAAAGGAGUUUCAUUUGUGCCUUAACUGGUCACAUCUAAUAUUCAACUUCAGAAAAACAAUAAGCUCAAGAAGAAAAAUCUAGAUCCAUAUCAGAUCAUCAAUAGAUCACAACUAUGAGUGCUUUGAAAACAUGAGACAAAGAGAAUGAUCUAGGACAAAAAUAAAAAUAAAACAAAAUCGCUUACCACCAUUGUUACGUAGAGUUUCAGAAUGUCUCUCGGCGUCGGUGCCUGACCACUGAGAUUUACUAUUUUCGGUCUCAGGAGGUGUGACUGGAUAUUUUCCAUCAACUAACUUGUUUGAAGCUUUUUGGCGUCUACCUCUCCUCCCAGUUCGUUGAUCAGAUUGGAACAUACCAGCUUGCAUAGCUGUGCCAUUAGGCACUACUGCAACACAAAAAAAAAAAAAAAAAAAAAGUGCCUCAGAAAGGUCAGCAGACACAUAUUUUCAUAUUCGAAGACCAGUGCUAACCUUUUUGGGAUUUUACAUCCUGCACCUUUGCACUAUCAGAUAUCGCAGAAUAAUUUGUUGACGGGAAAACUCCAUUUGUAUUCACUCUGGCUCCUUCCAGGUUGUCAAGUCGUCCAUUCCUUUUCUCCUGAUAAAGCAAAGAAACCCAGAAAUUAAUUUCAAGUGAUGAUUAAAAUAAACAUAACUCCACCCACCUUGUCACUCCAUUGUUACCUGAUUUAUGGAUUUUCCAUGUCCUUGUAAAUCUAAAUAAUCAACUACAUUAUCUGUGCAUGCAUUAUACACUGCCUUUGCAACAUUAAUGGGAACUGAAGAGCUGUAUUUCUUUUGUUGUUCUGCCAUGUGCUUCUCCUUAGCUUCAUCCUCAAUUCUUCUCUGAUACUCUAGAGUUUUUUCAAGUUUUCUCUCCUCCUCCUCUAGCUCUCUUUGGCGUUUAUAUUCCUCUUCCUGUUCUUUUAUAGCUUCAACAGCUUCAGAAACAACAUCAGCCUCUGAAUAAUCACCGACAGAUGCAACCGUAAGGGGGCUGGAACAAGAAAUUAGCAGGUAAAUCAACAACAGAUUAUACACCACCAACAUUUUCAGAAACAAAGAUUAUCCAGGUUACACCCGCUUAAGUAAAAAUUAUGAACAAAGCAGAUCUUCACCUGUGUUCAAAAGAAUCAGUAUUGAAGCGAUGGUCGUUUCCAAUAGUUGCCUAUAACAAAAAAGUAAAGCUAGUUACAAAUAUAGACAAGAAAUACCUAAAAGUAGACAACAGAUGGUUCAAACCUUCAAAUCCUUCAGUUUCCUAGUGUCUUUAAUCUUUUUCUUGUCCUUGGACUUUUCCAGCAUGUUUUUUGAAUUAUCAUUUCUUCCUCGAGCCUCCUUCUUAGAAUCAAGAGCGAGCUCAACAAGUAAAGCUUCUCUUGCAGCAUCAGACUUCUCAGUGGCAUCUCUCUCUGCUAACGCCUCCAAAUGUGCCUGGAGAGAGAGAGAGAGAGAGAAUGAAAGGGGGAGAUUAAGAUGGAAAUGCCAAUAAGAACCUGAAAGAACACUGCUACUAAUGGAAGAAAAAGUAACAAGGUCUAAAGAGUUAGAUAACUACCCGCAUGUAGGACUUCACCAAAGGUAACAAUACUAUCUGAUAAUCGUUGAAGGAAACUGGUCCAAGCUUUAGCUCUAAUUGCUGCAUCCCAGUGACAGUACGCAUCAUUUGCGCGUCAAUUUUGCUAAGCUGUGAUAUCACCACAUAUACAGAUUAUUUUUAAAGCAGAAAGGCAGCUAAUGAUUAUCGCAGUCGUGUUGCGUAAAAAUAAUAAAGGUUACCUCUGCAGACAACUGCUCUUUUUGUUUCUGGAUCGCAAUCUCUAUGAAACUGUCAGCCUCAUGUAAGGAAUCCUUCAUCCCCCAUUCAUCAGCUUCACCAGAUUCCAGAUCACGAAGCUGAGAACUCGUGCAGCCAUAUGAUUCUUCAUAUCCAAAUUGAUUGUGGUUAAGGGUUUCAGCAUCUUUCAAAACAUUUGUUAUAGCAUCUAACUCAAACCUACUACUGAUAAACACCAACUCAAGGUCAUUAUCAUUUAGAUCGUCUCUUCGUUUCCUCAACACAGAUUCAUAGCUUUCAUGGGUAAACUCUGCUGAAGUCUCCCUCUUCCGGCCUUCUUCAAGACAUAGGUCCUCAACAGUCUGCAGUGCUCCCUCGUAGCUUAAGUGCUCGCAUUUUCUCUCGCAGAGGUUCUGUAAGUGAUAGAACUCCUUCUCAAGAUGCUGCAUGAUCUCCAGUCCUUGAUUUGUUUUCUCUUCCUUUGUGCACAUCCAUGACACAACUUGUUCCCCGCUAGAGGGUCCUGC